This 253-nucleotide unclassified non-coding RNA is filed under the name uncultured Enterobacteriaceae bacterium. RNAcentral's name for it is "contains 16S-23S intergenic spacer region". It matches the Rfam family "Bacterial small subunit ribosomal RNA", at positions 524 to 776 of the family's 1533-position model. Lineage: Bacteria; Pseudomonadati; Pseudomonadota; Gammaproteobacteria; Enterobacterales; Enterobacteriaceae. The record is from RNAcentral.
CACGAAUGCCCCAAGCGUUAUCCGGAAUUACUGGGCGUAAAGCGCACGCAGGCGGUCUGUCAAGUCGGACGUGAAAUCCCCGGGCUCAACCUGGGAACUGCAUCCGAAACUGGCAGGCUAGAGUCUUGUAGAGGGGGGUAGAAUUCCAGGUGUAGCGGUGAAAUGCGUAGAGAUCUGGAGGAAUACCGGUGGCGAAGGCGGCCCCCUGGACAAAGACUGACGCUCAGGUGCGAAAGCGUGGGGAGCAAACAGG